RNAcentral lists this ribosomal RNA (338 nucleotides) under uncultured Prevotella sp. RNAcentral's name for it is "bacterial SSU rRNA". It matches the Rfam family "Bacterial small subunit ribosomal RNA", at positions 1 to 339 of the family's 1533-position model. The record is from RNAcentral. Lineage: Bacteria; Pseudomonadati; Bacteroidota; Bacteroidia; Bacteroidales; Prevotellaceae.
AGUAGUUUGAUCAUGGCUCAGGAUGAACGCUAGCGGCAGGCUUAACACAUGCAAGUCGAGGGGCAGGCGGGGUGUAGCAAUACACUGCCGGCGACCGGCGCACGGGUGAGUAACGCGUAUCCAACCUUCCCCUUACUAGAGGAUAGCCCGGCGAAAGUCGGAUUAAUACUCUAUGUUCUCCUUUGAUGGCAUCAGAUGAGGAGCAAAGAUUCAUCGGUAAGGGAUGGGGAUGCGUCUGAUUAGCUUGUCGGCGGGGUAACGGCCCACCGAGGCAACGAUCAGUAGGGGUUCUGAGAGGAAGGUCCCCCACAUUGGUACUGAGACACGGACCAAACUCC